GGUGUUCAGAGAUAGAUGGGAGGGGUUUGAUGGGGCUGAAGGAUGGGACUGGAUGGUGUUCAGAGAUAGAUGGGAGGGGUUGAGUGGAGCUGAAGGAUGGAACUAAAAACAAACGAAAGAUAACUAUUGUAAAAUAUACUGUGUCUGUAAAAUGUAUAUGUAAUGUAUAAACUGGAAGUAGAAGCCUAAUAGUUGUUGUCCAUUAGGGGAGGGAUGAUAGGGUUUAGGGAAAAUAAUAAAUGAAAAUAUAUUUUAAAAAAACAAACAUUUAUAUAUAUAUUUACAAAGAAAUAUAUAGGGGAUUGGAAAUGAGGCAGACAAUGACAUGAUUGAUUGAAGCCACAGUCUGCCUGUACUAUUAAAGUUGAUCUACCAUGUAAAAAACAUCAUCAGUAUGGGCAACGGAAUCUUGCAAUUCCGAUAUUUGUGGUUGAGUCUGGAGCUGGUGUAGAGGUUGGGGCACCCCUAAACCCCCGGGUCUCAAAUCUCAUUGACAUUUUACAGACGUGUUCAAUACGCCUUAUUUAUACACUUUUGUAAUAUUUAUGAAAUGCAUAUUGUUAUAUUUGGUAACACUUAUUUGUUUUUCCUUUGCCUCCAACCCCCUUAGAUGUGUAGAACGGAUGUGGGCGGGGUCAAGUCUACAUAAGGAUGCACAUUUUUUUAAAUCACAAAAGCUCUGACGAAGGCCAUGUGGCCGAUAUGUAAGCUUAUUAAAUAUCGGUGAUACUAUCAAGAGCAGUUUCCUUUUUCCUUCAUCUUGUUUCUAACUAAAGCAUUUAUCUUUUAAAAUUAUAACUUGUUUUGUGUGUAUUUGUUUUGUGAGGGUUGAGAGGUGUUUACCAGGUUUGUUUGCCAUUAAAUACUAUGCUUUAUUUGAGUUUAACCUGUAGUUGUUGUCUCUCUUCAAAGAAAAAGAUCAUAUUCUUGCUUAAGUUCAGACAUGGAAUUUUCUUCUUUACCUUGUAAAGAUUUUUUUAUGGUCUUUUUCUAAAAUAGUGACUUAUUUUUCUUUAAUUUAAAUUUCUAACUCAGAUUUUGCUUUUGCGGAGCAUGAGAUUUGUUAAAAAAGCAUAAAAGCAUCACAAAUUAUGUCGGCGGUUGGCUUUCUCUGGCCUCUAUGUCAAUUUUUUUUUAGAGUAAAGGUUUUUAAUUUACAUAUUUAAUACAUUUUGGGUAUUGAAGAUGCCCUCUGUGUCACGCCCUGGUCAAAGUAUUUUGUGUUUAUCUUUAUGUAUUUGGUCAGGCCAGGGUGUGGCAUGGGGUUUUUGUAAUUGUGGUGUGUUUGUCUUGGGGUUUUGGUGGUGGUAUUGGGAUUGUAGCUUAGUGGGUUAUCUAGCAAGGUCUAUGGCUGUCUGGAGUGGUUCUCAAUCAGAGGCAGGUGCUUAUCGUUGUCUCUGAUUGGGAACCAUAUUUAGGCAGCCAUAUUCUUUGAGUUUGUCGUGGGUGAUUGUCCUGAGUGUCUUGAUGUCCUUGUUUGAUGUUAGUUGACACAAGUAUAGGCUGUUUUCGGUUUUCGUUUCGUUUAUUGUUUGUAGUGUUCGUGUUUAGUCGUGUUUACGUUUGUUUAAAUAAACAUGGAUCGCAAUCGACACGCUGCAGUUUGGUCCGACUCUCCUUCACUAUAUGAAAACCGUUACACUCUGUUCAUUCUCCAUAUUCUGACACUAAGUGUAUUUUAUGUUGGUGUGACUAAACAUGAUACAAGAGAAUGAUAUCACUAAAUCAUGGAUUUUUUUAACCCAGUAUAUUGUUGAGUGGAUUUUUGGAAAUAAAAAUGCAAUCCUGAGUAGCUUUUCCUACUUUGAAACAAAAAAACGAGUAGUAUUUUGUAGUUGGGAAUAGUAAUCUUCAGGUGUCCUGUAAAAUAUUUAUAGAGAUGACAUUUUUCAUCCUCUUUGGCAGGUAAGCAUUUCACUGUAAGGUCUACUACACCUGUUGUAUUCUGCGCUU
This is a long non-coding RNA of Oncorhynchus tshawytscha (Chinook salmon), 1953 nucleotides long. NCBI's taxonomy places the organism in Eukaryota, Metazoa, Chordata, Actinopteri, Salmoniformes, Salmonidae. The record is from Ensembl.